RNAcentral lists this ribosomal RNA (443 nucleotides) under uncultured bacterium. RNAcentral describes it as "bacterial SSU rRNA". It matches the Rfam family "Bacterial small subunit ribosomal RNA", at positions 426 to 883 of the family's 1533-position model. The record is from RNAcentral.
UAAACUUCUUUUAUUAAGGACGAAAAAUGACGGUACUUAAUGAAUAAGCUCCGGCUAACUACGUGCCAGCAGCCGCGGGAAUACGUAGGGAGCAAGCGUUGUCCGGAUUUACUGGGUGUAAAGGGUGCGUAGGCGGCUUUGCAAGUCAGAUGUGAAAUCUAUGGGCUCAACCCAUAAACUGCAUUUGAAACUGUAGAGCUUGAGUGAAGUAGAGGCAGGCGGAAUUCCCCGUGUAGCGGUGAAAUGCGUAGAGAUGGGGAGGAACACCAGUGGCGAAGGCGGCCUGCUGGGCUUUAACUGACGCUGAGGCACGUAAAGCGUGGGUAGCAAACAGGAUUAGAUACCCUGGUAGGCCACGCUGUGAACGAUGAUUACUAGGUGUGGGGGGUCUGACCCCUUCCGUGCCGGAUUGAACACAAUAAGGUAAUCCACCUGGGGAGUGA